GACAACUCGCGGGGAUUGUUUUCCACACCGUGGAAGCUUUGUUCUUUUCGUUUUUUGCAAUAAAUCUUGUUGCUGCUCGCUUUUUGGGUCCACAUUGCUUUUAUGAGCUGUACCACUCACCGUGAAGAUCUGCAGCUUCACUUCAGAGCCUAGCGAGACCACAAGCUCACUGAGAGGAACAAACAACUCCAGACGCGCUGUCUUAAGAGCUAUAACACUCACCGCGAAGGUGUGCAGUUUCACUCCUGAGCUAGUGAGACUACGAAGCCACUGGAACGAAGAAACUCCAACCACGUUUGAACAUCAGAAGGGGCAGACUCCAGACGCUUCAUCUUAAGAGCUGUAACACUCACUGUGAAGGUCUGCAGCUUCACUCCUGAGCCAGCGAGACCACGAACCGAUCUGAACAUCAGAAGGGACAGACUCCAGAUGCCCCACCUUAAGAGCUGUAAUACUCACUGCAAGGGUCUGCAGCUUCAUUCUUGAAGUCAGACCAAGAACCCAGCAAUUCCCAACACACAGGGACCAGCUUCUUUCCUAACUCACUUAGGCUCUUCGUGCUGCUCUGGCAACUAACACCCUUGGCUGCAGGGGCUUGGACACUACCCUUAGUCACUGACAAUUGUGUGAAGGCUGCUGUCGUUAACUUCACUUGAUCACCUUAGGCUCCUGUGAAGUGGUGAGCAAUUCAAACAAAUUCCUGUCGUCAAAUCAUGAUAUACAUCUUUCCACACCAAUAGACCUUGUUUUCCGAUGUAGCAUUAUUUUUCAUAGUUGGCGAAUAUACAGUUAUGGAUUCAUAACAGCAAGAUGGAGAAAUUGCACUGCAGAGAAAUCUUUAAAAGCAAUUACCUAAUACUGCAGAUUGCUGAACUGUACCCACACCCAAGACUGAGCAUUGGAUCAAUCCAGAAUAUACAUCAGGUGUUCUGCAAUGUCUGCCUAAAACCAUGACUCUGCCUCCUCCAGCUGUUGCUACAUCUCACUAUGGGUUUCCUGUGACAUUUUGAGCAAGUAUGCCUCUGUGACUGGGGUUCUUACACUCCAGAAUGGAUGAGAAGCACCGUAAGUGGCUUUUAAAAUGAAUAUUCCCUGGCCCUUCAGUCGCUCUAUAGGUCAAGAAUCUGAAUUCUCAACCUGUCUAGAAGGUUCUGGUUUUAAUGGUCUGUGGGCUGCACAUUGAGAAACCUGUUCAGCGAGUGCAACAAAGGUUCCACAUGUGAGAAAGGAAGCAUCAGGUCUCUUGAGCCUGUUCUUUAAUCUGUAGGCUGCACCUUCUCUUUAAAUUCUGCUAAUAACACCAUGCGAGAAAACACCCGAGCUUGAAAAGCCCAUGUUCCAACAUAACUGUCCUUCACCACUCUGGAAAAUUAAUGGUUUGUUUCGAUUAUCCCUUUGUUAAACUCCAAAGUCAAAGAGCUCUGAAAGGCAUACGGUUAUUUUAAGUUUCAGGUGAUUUCUGUUGCCAAAUAUUUUAAAAAUUUAAAAUUGCUACGUGACCUCUUAGUAGUACUAUUAGAUUUCCUGACAAUAAAAAUAAGUCUUUUGGUUUCACCAUUUAUAGUUAGUACAGCUAAUAUUAAGUAUAAUUUUAAAAGCCUUUUAUUUUCUCAGAAAGAAAAAAUAAUCAAAAUCUGCUCAGUGUGGUAUUGAAUAAUUAAAAACAAAAGAACAGUAUCUUCACAUUAGUGUUUAAUAUUAAUUGCUUUUUUACCCUUGACACUGGUGCUAAUUAAAUUUUCAUUUUAUUUUCCAUGACUUGUUUAAACAGUUUUUGCAAAUUAUUGCUAAUCAGCCUAAUAAAACUGAAUCACCUAUUAAACAAUUUUGUUUUGAAUUAAAUGGCAUUAAAAUAA
RNAcentral lists this long non-coding RNA (1856 nucleotides) under Homo sapiens (human). Its description in RNAcentral is "uncharacterized LOC100507336, transcript variant 7 (LOC100507336)". Lineage: Eukaryota; Metazoa; Chordata; Mammalia; Primates; Hominidae. The record is from RNAcentral.